GGUGGCUCAGUGAUAGAGCACUUGCCUUCCAUGCUUGAGGCCCUGGGUUCGAUUCCUCAGCACCA
RNAcentral lists this transfer RNA (65 nucleotides) under Dipodomys ordii (Ord's kangaroo rat). It matches the Rfam family "tRNA". Rfam says of the family: Transfer RNA (tRNA) molecules are approximately 80 nucleotides in length. The record is from Rfam by way of RNAcentral. Lineage: Eukaryota; Metazoa; Chordata; Mammalia; Rodentia; Heteromyidae.